ACAGAUGUACUAACCCUUCAUGCAGUCAAUGAAUGUUUUACUGAAUAAAUGUUUGUUGAAUGAAAAAAAAAAAGAACAAACAAAUAAACUGGCUAAAAAAUUAAACAGGGAAGAAUGUGAACCAAACAGACAUAGAAAAGACUGUUGGGCUAUCAUCAUCAUCAUCACCAUCCAAGCAGGAAGGCUGUGUACAAUAACUCACAAAGAUGUUGAAGGAUUGAACUGGUGCAGACCAUCAGAACAGAAAGAAAAAGCCAGCUGUGAGAGCUUGGGUAAUCCAUGUUGGUGUAGAGGAGCCAGAAGGGAAAGACUUUGAAUAUAGCGGAGAACUUUCACAUGUUGAAUGCUGAAAGCAUUAUGUGUCUUUGAACAAUUUUAUAAUCCCUCAUACAGAACUUGUAUCCUUUACAAAGAACACUAAGGAGGAUCAUACUAAAAUAAGGAAAAACUAGAUAGACGAAAUCAUUUGUUUUAAUACUACAACAAUGAACUCUUUGUUAGUGAGAACUGGUAACAUCUAAGGAAAUAAGUAGAAUACAGGACAGGGCAUUUUUUAAUUGGUUGCCUGGAAAGUCACUGAAAGUAGUAAGCCAUGUUAACUUAAUGCAUGCUGUUAGAUGUGAAAAAUGUCAUCUUAUCCAUUGCCCAGCAGAAACAGUCAGGGUGAAGGGAAAACAUUAAUAGGCUAAACAAGAAGUUCAUGGUUUAAAACGAGAGUCUGAACAGUUGCAUCCUUUAACAGCCACAUAUACUGUAUGGGCAAACGCAGGAAAAACAAUCCAUUGAAAUGUAUUUAGAAUUAAACAAGCAAACAACAACAACAACAGCAAACCCCUUGGAAUGUUACCCAGUUCCAUCAGUUGUUAUUCACUCAUUUAAGAAAUAAUGUUGGGUUAUCUGAAUGAUUUGCCAUGGCUUUCCUGUAUGCACUAGUUUGUUGAUUUCUAAAGUUGAACCCCAGAGGCAGAGCUUCACAGGGAGGAAGCAUUCUAGUACAGGGCCUCUUUCGCAAAACCUCCCAGGACCGGGUGAGGACACUCCCACAGAUUGCAUCUAUUGGGUGUCCACUGCAAAAUCUGCCUGACUGAAUUCUUUCUGAGAAUAGCUCAUGCGCUCCUCUUGAGCAAUACUUGUUUGUUUACUUGUUCUAAAGAGCAAGGAGAUGACACAGGACAGAUUGGACAACUGGCCAAUAGUGUCCCAGAGGACUUCCAGGGUGGAAUAUGUCUUCCAAUCAGAAAGAGGAGAGGCGGGACAGGCCUGAGGAGGUGAACUACUUCUCAGUGUGACUUGCCCUCCAUAUUGAGUGUGGCAAAAAUAACCCUAAUGUGUUCUAGAGCAGGUUAAUGUUUCGCGCCCCGUUUGACAGAUUCUUAGAAAUAGCUAGCAUGAUUUACAGCUGCGUUACUCAAUAAUGCUGUGAUGUCAUAUUCAAUUCUUAUCGGUUAAAUUAUUUCCCCCAUGAUUAUGGUCAUUUAAUGUUAUGGAAAAAGGAAUAGGGUAAGAGUUAUUUAAAACUGACACUGCUUGGCUUCCUACAAUGAUUAUUUGAUAGUUUAAAAGCACCAGGAGAUUCCUGGAGAAAACACUAAAUAACAUGUGCUUUUGCUUUCCCCUUUUUUAUGGGUUGUUUCAAGGAACUGUAAUAUUUGUUAUUCAACUAAAAAUAAAUCAUACUAUGUUUAUAUUA
Long non-coding RNA from Myotis lucifugus (little brown bat), 1690 nucleotides. RefSeq lists it as uncharacterized. The record is from RefSeq and is a predicted model, not a curated record. The transcript is spliced from 2 exons. Lineage: Eukaryota; Metazoa; Chordata; Mammalia; Chiroptera; Vespertilionidae.